This 831-nucleotide ribosomal RNA is filed under the name Harringtonia lauricola. RNAcentral describes it as "LSU rRNA". It matches the Rfam family "Eukaryotic large subunit ribosomal RNA", at positions 83 to 936 of the family's 3401-position model. Lineage: Eukaryota; Fungi; Ascomycota; Sordariomycetes; Ophiostomatales; Ophiostomataceae. The record is from RNAcentral.
GUAACGGCGAGUGAAGCGGCAACAGCUCAAAUUUGAAAUCUGGCCCCCCGCGGGCCCGAGUUGUACUUUGGAGAGGACGCUUCUGGCGCGGCGCCGUCCGAGUUCCCUGGAACGGGACGCCGGAGAGGGUGAGAGCCCCGUACGGGCGGCCGCCUAGCCUCUGCGAAGCUCCUUUCGACGAGUCGAGUAGUUUGGGAAUGCUGCUCAAAAUGGGAGGUAAAUUUCUUCUAAAGCUAAAUACCGGCCAGAGACCGAUAGCGCACAAGUAGAGUGAUCGAAAGAUGAAAAGCACUUUGAAAAGAGGGUCAAACAGUACGUGAAAUUGUUGAAAGGGAAGCGCCUGUGGCCAGACUUGCGCCCCGCGGACCACCCGGCGCCUCGCGCGCCGGGGCACGCCAGCGGGGCGCAGGCCAGCAUCGGCUCUCUCGGGGGGACAAAGGCCGCGGGAACGUAGCGCCCUCGCGGCGUAUUAUAGCCCGCGGCGCCAUGCCCCCGGGGGGGCCGAGGACCGCGCUCCGGCAAGGAUGCUGGCGUAAUGGCCACCGGCGACCCGUCUUGAAACACGGACCAAGGAGUCAAGCAUUGGGGCGAGUGUCUGGGUGGCAAGCCCGCACGCGGAAUGAAAGUGAACGCAGGUGGGAGCUUCGGCGCACCACCGACCGAUCCUGAUGUCCUCGGAUGGAUUUGAGUAGGAGCCCCGCCGCUUGGACCCGAAAGAUGGUGAACUAUGCCUGUAUAGGGUGAAGCCAGAGGAAACUCUGGUGGAGGCCCGCAGCGGUUCUGACGUGCAAAUCGAUCGUCAAAUAUGGGCAUGGGGGCGAAAGACUAAUC